Molecule: ribosomal RNA, 498 nt
Filed under: uncultured bacterium
Lineage: Bacteria
Description: partial 16S ribosomal RNA
Rfam family: Bacterial small subunit ribosomal RNA
Source: RNAcentral
GACGAACGCUGGCGGCGUGCCUAAUACAUGCAAGUCGAGCGGACGGAUGGGAGCUUGCUCCCAGACCGUCAGCGGCGGACGGGUGAGUAACACGUGGGCAACCUGCCUGUAAGACUGGGAUAACUCCGGGAAACCGGGGCUAAUACCGGAUAACUCUUUCCCUCACAUGAGGGAAAGCUGAAAGAUGGCAUCUCGCUAUCACUUACAGAUGGGCCCGCGGCGCAUUAGCUAGUUGGUGAGGUAACGGCUCACCAAGGCGACGAUGCGUAGCCGACCUGAGAGGGUGAUCGGCCACACUGGGACUGAGACACGGCCCAGACUCCUACGGGAGGCAGCAGUAGGGAAUCUUCCGCAAUGGGCGAAAGUCUGACGGAGCAACGCCGCGUGAGUGAUGAAGGUUUUCGGAUCGUAAAACUCUGUUGUCAGGGAAGAACAAGUACCGGAGUAACUGCCGGUACCUUGACGGUACCUGACCAGAAAGCCACGGCUAACUACGUG